GAGUUUGAUCGUGGCUCAGAUUGAACGCUGGCGGCAUGCCUUACACAUGCAAGUCGAACGGCAGCAUGAUCUAGCUUGCUAGAUUGAUGGCGAGUGGCGAACGGGUGAGUAAUACAUCGGAACGUGCCCUGUAGUGGGGGAUAACUAGUCGAAAGAUUAGCUAAUACCGCAUACGACCUGAGGGUGAAAGUGGGGGACCGCAAGGCCUCAUGCUAUAGGAGCGGCCGAUGUCUGAUUAGCUAGUUGGUGGGGUAAAGGCCCACCAAGGCGACGAUCAGUAGCUGGUCUGAGAGGACGAUCAGCCACACUGGGACUGAGACACGGCCCAGACUCCUACGGGAGGCAGCAGUGGGGAAUUUUGGACAAUGGGCGAAAGCCUGAUCCAGCAAUGCCGCGUGUGUGAAGAAGGCCUCGGUUGUAAGCACUUUGUCCGGUAAGAAUAGGCUCUGGUUAUACUGGGUCGAUGACGGUACCGGAACGAAGUAAGGACCGG
RNAcentral lists this ribosomal RNA (493 nucleotides) under uncultured microorganism. Its description in RNAcentral is "bacterial SSU rRNA". It matches the Rfam family "Bacterial small subunit ribosomal RNA", at positions 9 to 496 of the family's 1533-position model. The record is from RNAcentral.